Molecule: transfer RNA, 68 nt
Filed under: Abramis brama orientalis
Lineage: Eukaryota; Metazoa; Chordata; Actinopteri; Cypriniformes; Leuciscidae
Description: tRNA-Trp
Source: RNAcentral
AGGAACUUAGAAAGCUCAGACAAGGGCCUUCAAAAGCCUUAACCAUAAGUGAAAAUCUUCAAUCCCUG